CCAAUAGCGUAUAUUAAAGUUGUUGCAGUUAAAAAGCUCGUAGUUGAAUUUCGAGACCGGUCUACUGGUCGUGCUUUUGUACGUACUGGUUUUAUUGGUUUCUCCUUUCUGACGAACUAUAAUGCCAUUAAUUUGGUGUUAUGGGGAAUCAGGACUGUUACUUUGAAAAAAUUAGAGUGUUUAAAGCAGGCUCACGCUUGAAUACAUUAGCAUGGAAUAA
This 220-nucleotide ribosomal RNA is filed under the name uncultured Glomus. RNAcentral's name for it is "partial small subunit ribosomal RNA". It matches the Rfam family "Eukaryotic small subunit ribosomal RNA", at positions 591 to 817 of the family's 1831-position model. Lineage: Eukaryota; Fungi; Glomeromycota; Glomeromycetes; Glomerales; Glomeraceae. The record is from RNAcentral.